AGCAGGCAACGACCAACUUUUCUUCUCUCUAGGCAACAGGAUCUCACCAAGUUGCCCAGGCCGAGCUUGAACUUGCAAUCCUCUGGCUUCUGCCAUCCAAGUAGCUGGAAUUAAGGAGUUUGGAAGAUGAUUGGACUGCAUCUGGAACCCUAGGGAAAGCGCAAAUUCAAAAUCUGAAGUUCAUUUCCACUGAUUUUGUAUCAUUUUACAUGGGGUCUUCUCAGGUGCUGACUACUGAGUGGCUGUGAAGUACAUUCCUGCACAGCCUUUCCCGAGGGAGGCAUCUUCUUUGAUACCGAGGAAGAAAGAGCUGCUGAAGGUGGGGUCAAGGUCAGCACGUUUCAAAGAGAACCACAUCACACCCAUCGUAGAGGGAGUUCAUCAGAGAGCCUCAUUACGUCCACUGUAUUAUCUAGUCAUGACGUAAUGUUUGUCUAGAUUGCUGCCAUUUUUGUGCUGAGUAAUCCACACAAGAUGUCAUUCAAUC
Molecule: long non-coding RNA, 487 nt
Filed under: Heterocephalus glaber (naked mole-rat)
Lineage: Eukaryota; Metazoa; Chordata; Mammalia; Rodentia; Bathyergidae
Description: lncRNA (ENSHGLG00100046441.1)
Source: RNAcentral